GGAUGUGUGGGUGAUCUGGCUGCAACAUGUCACCCCAUUGGUCACCAGGGUUGAUUGGGCUAAUCUGGCUGACUAGGCAGGUGUCCCCUCCUUUCCUCACCGCUCCAUGUGCAUCCCUCAGGAAGCUGCCCACUUGGUUGCAGAGGACGGCCAUCCCUGAUAGAGGAGGACCGUUUCCUCAGUCAAGGGUAUACGAGUAGCUUCGCUCCCCUGCUAGAACCUCCAAACAAGCUCUCAAGAUGUGAUUGACUUAAUUAAGAAGGCAUGAUCAAAUUAAAAGAUAAUAAAAACUGUAUUAUGAGAUCACCUUC
Unclassified non-coding RNA from Fukomys damarensis (Damara mole-rat), 311 nucleotides. Its record names the gene 7SK. It matches the Rfam family "7SK RNA". From Rfam's summary of the family: 7SK was discovered as an abundant small nuclear RNA in the mid-70s but a possible function has only recently been suggested. Two independent studies have found that 7SK RNA binds the CDK9/cyclin T complex (known as elongation factor P-TEFb). The record is from Ensembl. NCBI's taxonomy places the organism in Eukaryota, Metazoa, Chordata, Mammalia, Rodentia, Bathyergidae.